Molecule: long non-coding RNA, 1138 nt
Filed under: Podarcis muralis (Common wall lizard)
Lineage: Eukaryota; Metazoa; Chordata; Lepidosauria; Squamata; Lacertidae
Description: lncRNA (ENSPMRG00000000990.1)
Source: RNAcentral
AUAGUUCACAUACAAGGGAAAGUACAUGCCAGGGGAACCUAGGAGAGCCAUACGUUGCUUCUCCUGCCCACCUCUGUGGGAAAAUGAUUGCUUGUACAUGAGAGCAUGAGCAAAGUUCUUAUUGUUACAGGGUGAUUUCAUAGCUAGAAGCAUCCUUGGAGCAUGAACAGCGCGUGAACAGCUCGUGCUGUCCCAUAUGAUUGGCUAACGUAGUAUGGUCUGAUCGCUCGCAUGGUCUAGUACCAAGGUCUUUAUCUGCUGGCUAGAACAAAUUGCUUGACUUGUAUUUUUUGUAUCUUUCUAUUUCACACAUUUCACACAAUAAAAGCUGUGCUGCAUAAGCCCUAGGAGCAGCCAUAUUUCGGAACCUAUCAUGGUGUGAGACUGAUUUUCCUCUGAAUGCCGAGCUGCAACUCGACAAUUGGUGCCCCGUGUGAUUGCCUUCGGACUUCACGUUGUUUUUCAUUAUUCAGCACUCACCAACACGUCGUUCAUCCACGUAGUGGAUCCCUGGUGAGUGCUCCCGUGUGACUGCCUUCGGACUUCACGUUGUUUUUCAUUAUUCAGCACUAACCAACACGUCGUUCAUCCACGUAGUGGAUCCCUGGUGAGUGCUCCCGUGUGACUGCCUGUUUUUCAUUAUUCAGCACUCACCAACACGUCGUUCAUCCACGUAGUGGAUCCCUGGUGAGUGCUCCCGUGUGUACAACGUUCAGCUCUCACCUCGCCCCGCAAGGGCUGCAGACGCGUCGUUCAUCCACGUAGUGGAUCCCCGGUGAGAGCCUCGCCGGUGUGAAUGUGAUUCUGGACUACGUUACGGACUUAUCAGCACUUAUCUCCGCCCGGGACAGGGCAAAAGGCGCCUCUCUCUCAUCCUCCUACGGAUCCCUCCGGGCAGGCGAUAGUCGAGCGUUCUCAUUUGACCUUUAAGACCCUUCUCAACAAGCAAUUGGGAGGUCGAUCGCCUACUGUAUCUGAAAUACCUAAUGCUGUACAUCAAGUAUUGUUUACUCUAAAUCAUCUUUUGUAUCCCCACAAUAAGGAUUUUACGCCUGCUGAACUUCAUUUCCGGAAGGAAGAAGUAUUGCAACGCCCUUUAGUGUCUUACAGGUUGCUUCCAGAUCCACAGUGGAAGGGU